AUGCGAGGGUGAUCUGGUUGUGACGUCUGUCACCCCAUUGAUUGCCAGGGUUGAUUCAGCUGACCUGGCUAGAUAGUUUGGUGUCCCCUUCCUCCCUCAAUGCUGUAUAUAUAUAUCCUUCCUGAAGCUGCAUGCUCAGUAAAAGAGGAUGACCACUCCUGAUAGAGGACAACCAUUCCUUGGUCAAGGGUGUAUAAGUAGCUGCACUCCCCUGCUAGACCCUCCAAAGAAGCACUCAAAAUAGACCAUAUUUUAGCCACAGAACAUACUUAAGUAAAUGCAAAGGAACUGAAAAUAUACUGUGCAUAUUGUCAGACCAU
This 320-nucleotide small nuclear RNA is filed under the name Chinchilla lanigera (long-tailed chinchilla). RNAcentral describes it as "7SK RNA (ENSCLAG00000021720.1)". It matches the Rfam family "7SK RNA". From Rfam's summary of the family: 7SK was discovered as an abundant small nuclear RNA in the mid-70s but a possible function has only recently been suggested. Two independent studies have found that 7SK RNA binds the CDK9/cyclin T complex (known as elongation factor P-TEFb). The record is from Rfam by way of RNAcentral. Lineage: Eukaryota; Metazoa; Chordata; Mammalia; Rodentia; Chinchillidae.